UGAUGAUGAUGAUGAUGAUGAUGAUGAUGAUGAUGAUGAUGAUGAUCACAACCACCACCACCAUCAUCAUCAUCACUAUCACCAUCAUCAUCAACA
RNAcentral lists this microRNA precursor (96 nucleotides) under Guillardia theta CCMP2712. RNAcentral describes it as "microRNA mir-598". It matches the Rfam family "mir-598 microRNA precursor family". The record is from RNAcentral. Lineage: Eukaryota; Cryptophyceae; Pyrenomonadales; Geminigeraceae.